This 440-nucleotide ribosomal RNA is filed under the name uncultured bacterium. RNAcentral describes it as "bacterial SSU rRNA". It matches the Rfam family "Bacterial small subunit ribosomal RNA", at positions 21 to 507 of the family's 1533-position model. The record is from RNAcentral.
UUCUCAGGAUGAACGCUGGCGGCGUGCUUAACACAUGCAAGUCGAACGAACCUUCGGGUUAGUGGCGGACGGGUGAGUAACGCGUGAGAAUCUGCCCUCAGGAGGGGGACAACAGCUGGAAACGGCUGCUAAUACCCCAUAUGCCGCGAGGUGAAAUGAAUUUCGCCUGAGGAUGAGCUCGCGUCUGAUUAGCUAGUUGGUGUAGGUAAUGGCUCACCAAGGCAUCGAUCAGUAGCUGGUCUGAGAGGAUGAUCAGCCACACUGGGACUGAGACACGGCCCAGACUCCUACGGGAGGCAGCAGUGGGGAAUUUUCCGCAAUGGGCGAAAGCCUGACGGAGCAACGCCGCGUGAGGGAUGAAGGCCUCUGGGCUGUAAACCUCUUUUAUCAAGGAAGAAGAUCUGACGGUACUUGAUGAAUAAGCCACGGCUAAUUCCGUG